Molecule: long non-coding RNA, 1267 nt
Organism: Setaria italica (foxtail millet)
Lineage: Eukaryota; Viridiplantae; Streptophyta; Magnoliopsida; Poales; Poaceae
Exons: 3
Source: RefSeq, a predicted model, not a curated record
CUCGCCCCACGCAGGCAGGAAGCGCAAGCCCCUUCGCGGCUUCUCCACCAUCUCUUCGUCUAGAUCUCAGCAACCCGGCAGUAGGAACAGGAGGAGGAGGAGCAAUGCCGAAGGGACUCACGUCCCCAAGCAGACCAAGGCGAGCAUCAAGCGCGUGUGCUGCGACGCGUGCGGCACCCGCGGCGGCUUCACGCUCGAGGAGAUGAACUCGCACGGGACUGGUGCGCUGCGGCGAAGCAGCAGGCGGACAAGGCCGCCAAGGCCAAGAGAUCACCUCACCGCCGUUAGGCCACCACGAUCGUGCUCCUUGCUGCAGGCUUACGGCGCGGAUCCGGCAAGACGCAAGAGUUUUUCGAAGGAGCAGUUAGAGUGUACAGGAAUCGAUAGCAAAGCAAUACUAGUAUACAGCAAUUAGUCUUUCGCAGGAUGAGUAAGUUCUCGGGGUUUUUGCAUAUUACCCGUACUACUAGUACUGUCAUGCACUUUAAGCAUCAGAACUCUAGAUGAUUGGAAUCCGUGUCUACUAUGAAAUGAAGGACAACCAUUAUCAUCCAUGAUUCGUCAGCUCUAUUUCACAACUGUUUGGGUUGCAAUUCACAACUGAUUUGAGUUUCAUAUCCACGAUGAUGCCGCGCAUGUUUGGUUUCCAUCUCAUAUUACCAUAUAACUGCUGUGCACUCACUUCAACAAGUGCUAUUAGACUGAAAUCUGAAUGGCCAUACUUUUUUAAGUUUUUCCUGCUAAUUAAGAGCUUGGUGUAUUGGCUACGACAACCUUAAGAGAUCGAUCAAUCCAUGGCAAAAUGUGGCAUUAGUUGCACAGAAUUUUUUUUAUUUACACCCAUAAAUGCAUCUGCAUGUAGUAAGCCAUCAUGGUGCAUCUGUUCUGCUCUGCUUCCUCACCCAGCCCAAUGCCCAGUUGCCCUCCUCUUCUUUAGGAUUAGCCAUUAGGUCACAUAGUUGUAUGCACCAAUUACAAGGUUAAUUUCUUAUCAGUGGGCUGUAACCAAGUGCAACAAGACAGAUUAUCCUAUCCAGCUAUCCGCGUAGUUUUUUUCAAACACUUAUGAUUCUGUAUUAUACCAAACAUGUUCUAUUGCAUGCCCAUCAUACCAAAAGGAUAAAACUGCAUUAAAACUUUCUGCGACCCAAUUCAUUUCGUUAUUGCAAUUUAAGGACACGUGGUGGAUUCGGUCAAUUCCAACCUAGAGAUCCAGAUAUGCUUCUCUACAGUGUUUUUAUAUCUUGCUGAUAAAUCAAUCAAUCCA